GGGGGCAACCCUGAUCCAGCGACGCCGCGUGUGUGAAGAAGGCCUGCGGGUUGUAAAGCACUUUUAGUGGGGAUGAAAAGCACAUUGCUAAUACCAGUGUGUCUUGACCUAACCCAAAGAAAAAGCACCGGCUAACUCUGUGCCAGCAGCCGCGGUAAUACAGAGGGUGCGAGCGUUAAUCGGAAUUACUGGGCGUAAAGCGUGCGUAGACGGUUAUUUAAGUCGGAUGUGAAAGCCCCGGGCUCAACCUGGGAAUUGCAUUCGAGACUGAAUAGCUAGGGUGCGGUAGAGGGAAGCGGAAUUUCCGGUGUAGCGGUGAAAUGCGUAGAUAUCGGAAGGAACAUCAGUGGCGAAAGCGGCUUCCUGGACCAGCACCGACGUUCAGGCACGAAAGCGUGGGGAGCAAACAGGAUUAGAUACCCUGGUAGUCCACGCCAUAAACGAUGAGGACUAGACGUUGGAGGGGUAAGCCUUUCAGUGUCGUAGCUAACGCGCUAAGUCCUCCGCCUGGGGAGUACGG
This 520-nucleotide ribosomal RNA is filed under the name uncultured bacterium. Its description in RNAcentral is "bacterial SSU rRNA". It matches the Rfam family "Bacterial small subunit ribosomal RNA", at positions 373 to 885 of the family's 1533-position model. The record is from RNAcentral.